AGUGAACGCUGGCGGUAGGCCUAACACAUGCAAGUCGAACGGCAGCACAGUAAGAGCUUGCUCUUACGGGUGGCGAGUGGCGGACGGGUGAGGAAUACAUCGGAAUCUACUUUUUCGUGGGGGAUAACGUAGGGAAACUUACGCUAAUACCGCAUACGACCUACGGGUGAAAGCAGGGGAUCUUCGGACCUUGCGCGAUUGAAUGAGCCGGUGUCGGAUUAGCUAGUUGGCGGGGUAACGGCCCACCAAGGCGACGAUCCGUAGCUGGUCUGAGAGGAUGAUCAGCCACACUGGAACUGAGACACGGUCCAGACUCCUACGGGAGGCAGCAGUGGGGAAUAUUGGACAAUGGGCGCAAGCCUGAUCCAGCCAUACCGCGUGGGUGAAGAAGGCCUUCGGGUUGUAAAGCCCUUUUGGUGGGAAAGAAAAGCAGCAGGUUAAUACCCCGCUGUUCUGACGGUACCCAAAGAAUAAGCACCGGCUAACUUCGUG
This 492-nucleotide ribosomal RNA is filed under the name uncultured bacterium. Its description in RNAcentral is "partial 16S ribosomal RNA". It matches the Rfam family "Bacterial small subunit ribosomal RNA", at positions 29 to 507 of the family's 1533-position model. The record is from RNAcentral.